ACCUCGGUGGCUUCGAGGGAAAGCGCCGGCCUACAAAUCCUCAGGUCGCGGGUUCGAAUCUCGGCCGAGGUG
RNAcentral lists this transfer RNA (72 nucleotides) under Ixodes scapularis (black-legged tick). It matches the Rfam family "tRNA". Rfam says of the family: Transfer RNA (tRNA) molecules are approximately 80 nucleotides in length. Their secondary structure includes four short double-helical elements and three loops (D, anti-codon, and T loops). Further hydrogen bonds mediate the characteristic L-shaped molecular structure. tRNAs have two regions of fundamental functional importance: the anti-codon, which is responsible for specific mRNA codon recognition, and the 3' end, to which the tRNAs corresponding amino acid is attached (by aminoacyl-tRNA synthetases). tRNAs cope with the degeneracy of the genetic code in two manners: having more than one tRNA (with a specific anti-codon) for a particular amino acid; and 'wobble' base-pairing, i.e. permitting non-standard base-pairing at the 3rd anti-codon position. The record is from Rfam by way of RNAcentral. Lineage: Eukaryota; Metazoa; Arthropoda; Arachnida; Ixodida; Ixodidae.